CCACCCAAAGAAUAGAAAUACCUGACAGUUGCCCGUUUAACACCGGUGGAGUAAUUAUUAAACCCCCCUUUUUUACUAUAUUGCUAAUCCAAACCCAAACUGUCCGAUACAGAGCAGCGCCAGCGUUCAACCAGCAGAGAGCGCAAUCGGGUCACCAUAUCCAUCUCGGUGGCUCCACCCAUGCCCACAUUCCCCUCCCCUCACUCCAUCAGGAGACAGGACCAGAGGAGUCGACACUCACAUAUGCUGGACAGAGCUGAAUAUCAGACAAUGCAGAGGAAGGAAAGAAGCACCAGAGAGUCCGAC
Long non-coding RNA from Ictalurus punctatus (channel catfish), 306 nucleotides. The record is from Ensembl. NCBI's taxonomy places the organism in Eukaryota, Metazoa, Chordata, Actinopteri, Siluriformes, Ictaluridae.